This 1438-nucleotide ribosomal RNA is filed under the name uncultured organism. RNAcentral describes it as "SSU rRNA". It matches the Rfam family "Bacterial small subunit ribosomal RNA". The record is from RNAcentral.
CUUAACACAUGCAAGUCGAGGGGCAGCAUCAUCAAAGCUUGCUUUGAUGGAUGGCGACCGGCGCACGGGUGAGUAACACGUAUCCAACCUACCGACAACACUGGGAUAGCCUUUCGAAAGAAAGAUUAAUACCGGAUGGCAUAGUUUUCCCCGCAUGGGAUGACUAUUAAAGAAUUUCGGUUGUCGAUGGGGAUGCGUUCCAUUAGGCAGUUGGCGGGGUAACGGCCCACCAAACCGACGAUGGAUAGGGGUUCUGAGAGGAAGGUCCCCCACAUUGGAACUGAGACACGGUCCAAACUCCUACGGGAGGCAGCAGUGAGGAAUAUUGGUCAAUGGACGAGAGUCUGAACCAGCCAAGUAGCGUGAAGGAUGACUGCCCUAUGGGUUGUAAACUUCUUUUAUACGGGAAUAAAGUGUGCCACGUGUGGCUUUUUGUAUGUACCGUAUGAAUAAGGAUCGGCUAACUCCGUGCCAGCAGCCGCGGUAAUACGGAGGAUCCGAGCGUUAUCCGGAUUUAUUGGGUUUAAAGGGAGCGUAGGCGGGUUGUUAAGUCAGUUGUGAAAGUUUGCGGCUCAACCGUAAAAUUGCAGUUGAUACUGGCGACCUUGAGUGCAACAGAGGUAGGCGGAAUUCGUGGUGUAGCGGUGAAAUGCUUAGAUAUCACGAAGAACUCCGAUUGCGAAGGCAGCUUACUGGAUUGUAACUGACGCUGAUGCUCGAAAGUGUGGGUAUCAAACAGGAUUAGAUACCCUGGUAGUCCACACAGUAAACGAUGAAUACUCGCUGUUGGCGAUAUACAGUCAGCGGCCAAGCGAAAGCAUUAAGUAUUCCACCUGGGGAGUACGCCGGCAACGGUGAAACUCAAAGGAAUUGACGGGGGCCCGCACAAGCGGAGGAACAUGUGGUUUAAUUCGAUGAUACGCGAGGAACCUUACCCGGGCUUAAAUUGCAACUGACUGAACCGGAAACGGUUCUUUCUUCGGACAGUUGUGAAGGUGCUGCAUGGUUGUCGUCAGCUCGUGCCGUGAGGUGUCGGCUUAAGUGCCAUAACGAGCGCAACCCUUAUCGAUAGUUACUAGCAGGUCAUGCUGAGGACUCUAUUGAGACUGCCGUCGUAAGAUGUGAGGAAGGUGGGGAUGACGUCAAAUCAGCACGGCCCUUACGUCCGGGGCUACACACGUGUUACAAUGGGGGGUACAGAAGGCAGCUACACGGCGACGUGGUGCUAAUCCCGAAAGCCUCUCUCAGUUCGGAUUGGAGUCUGCAACCCGACUCCAUGAAGCUGGAUUCGCUAGUAAUCGCGCAUCAGCCACGGCGCGGUGAAUACGUUCCCGGGCCUUGUACACACCGCCCGUCAAGCCAUGAAAGCCGGGGGUACCUGAAGUACGUAACCGCAAGGAGCGUCCUAGGGUAAAACUGGUGAUUGGGGCUAAGUCGU